UCGAUAGAAAAAUAAAAUGUUUUCUUGGUAGUGUUUCGCAAUCACACGAUAACUAUCAGUGAUUGGUUUAUUAAUUCGAGUACACGCAACAUUUCAUGAAUACUUGCGGGCGGUUUAAGGUUGUUCAGAUCUCUUCAAAGCGCUCUGUAACACAUUUAACAAGUUAACCCUAAGGAAAACAGUUUCAAUACAAGAGUUGAAAUGGGAGGAAGUAACAGCUCACAUGUGUUAACGUCUGACGAUGUUGUCGAUAAGAUACGACCUUUUCGAAACGAUUUAUCGGACUUGGAUAGACGAUUGUUUAAUUUUGCAAAAUUUCAAGUAGUAGAAAAUUCGAGUAGAAUGGACGAAUCUGAAUUAUUUUUGGACUUCGAAAAUCGGGACGCUAUAAUAGUGAAACCCGACGGAUGUGCAAGGCCAAAAUCGAGAAUGUUUGUUGGUUAUGACCAUAAGGAUGACCCUAAAAUGAUAUGGGAAGAACUUAGCUUAUGGCGGCGUGCAAAGGCCUUCAUUGUUCGUGGAAUUCAAGCUAUCGUACGACACCUGCCUGAUGUUCUGGCAAUUGGUGCUAAAACUGCCCUGAAGGCUAUAUCAUUUUAUUAAAGAAACAGACAUUGACGCAAUUUUUCGUAUUAAUGUUAAAUCAUUGUGAAUUGAAGGACGUAUUCUUGUUGUUUUGUCAUUACUGACCCACUACUAUAUUGAACUUGGUAUGUUUGUAUCUGUAUCAUUAUUAAAUGGACUUUUAUAUUCAAAUAAAACACAUUAUUUAUUCA
Molecule: long non-coding RNA, 776 nt
Organism: Mya arenaria
Lineage: Eukaryota; Metazoa; Mollusca; Bivalvia; Myida; Myidae
Exons: 2
Source: RefSeq, a predicted model, not a curated record